CAUGGAAGCAAAUUCUAAGAUCACUUCUUGUACCAUAUUUUGAAGAAGAGUGUUCCAAAAACCUCAUGGCUCUCUGGGAGAAAAUAAAACUUCAUUUCUGUCCUAAACAGGUGGCCAUGUCUAUAACGUUUGGUUUCAAUUGACUGGAACCGCCUCCGUGGAUAAAUUGUACCGUGCCCAAGGGAGACGAGAAAUGCCUUGGCGAACCUGUCCCAGCGAUGGCUGGGUUAGGAACCUGACAACCCAGCAUUUACAGGAAAAUAAAGAAAUACAAGCGAACUUAUGGAAAACCAUACAUAAACGAAGAGUGAGACAAUUAACGUGUUAUUGUGCAAAAGAAGACAAAUUGUGCAACUAAAAAUAAAUAAUACGGAGAAUAUAAAUUGUAGAGUUCUUGAAAAUGAGUUUGUAGUUUGCAGAAUUUGUUCAAUGGUGGUAGGAGAGACAGGAUGGCACCGUGCUUUAACUUUGGAUGGAAAGGAGAUAUAGAAACAAAUAUUGCAGCGGUCUUUAAUUCCGUUAUUUUUGAUAUGUUGCUGCCCCAUUUCCCCCAUCCCCUACUUCGGAUUUCAGAAGCCCGGGGGCAGCCGCCUAGCUUUAAUUGCACUGCCAGAAAUAAAAUUACAGACUACAUCUCAGCAACUGGGCCUAUGUGUGGACAACACGUGAGAGCCAAAUCUAUUCGUAGUCAGCCUGGACAAACGGCCAGAAUAGUCUCCCGACAUUUCUGUGAUUACUGUAAGCAAACUGUGCACCCUGCCAGUCAGCCAUCUUGGAAACGCCAGUAACAGGAGUGUUCAAAACUCGCCAAUACACUUAAUGAGAUAAGUUUUCUUCAUUGUCCUGUACCAGGUCUGUGUGAAAAACGGGACAACAUCCAGAGACCCGUUUCAACGUGUUACGCUUUCUCCAUUCCACUGAAACUCAAAUGCACUGUUUAGAACUAACUUACAUUGAUUAACCGUUUAAUCGUGGGCUUUAUAUUAUGCUUGAGGUCUUAAUUUCAAGCAUUAUCUCCGUCAGUAAACUGUACUGGUGCAUGGAAAGCAAUGGUGAAUUACACUAUUUCACUGAGAAAGAGGUACUAUAGGAUACGAAGAUGUAUAAUUCUUUUGGGUAAAGAAAUGAGUUAUAUACAGGCCUACAAACAGCAGCCAGGAUGUGGGAUAAAAAUAUACAACGGGUGAUAGAAAAGACAGGUCAAAAGGGCAAUGUUAUGAC
Mobula hypostoma (lesser devil ray) is the source of this 1221-nucleotide long non-coding RNA. RefSeq lists it as uncharacterized. The record is from RefSeq and is a predicted model, not a curated record. Lineage: Eukaryota; Metazoa; Chordata; Chondrichthyes; Myliobatiformes; Myliobatidae. The transcript has 3 exons.